RNAcentral lists this ribosomal RNA (101 nucleotides) under uncultured bacterium. Its description in RNAcentral is "partial 16S ribosomal RNA". The record is from RNAcentral.
CUUUAGGGUCGUAAACUUCUGUUAAGUGGGAAGAAAAUGGCAGUCCUAAUACGACUGCAAAAUGACGGUACCACUAGAGAAAGCACCGGCUAACUUCGUGC